Molecule: unclassified non-coding RNA, 95 nt
Organism: Gorilla gorilla gorilla (western lowland gorilla)
Lineage: Eukaryota; Metazoa; Chordata; Mammalia; Primates; Hominidae
Rfam family: Y RNA
About the family: Y RNAs are components of the Ro ribonucleoprotein particle (Ro RNP), in association with Ro60 and La proteins. The Y RNAs and Ro60 and La proteins are well conserved, but the function of the Ro RNP is not known. In humans the RNA component can be one of four small RNAs -- hY1, hY3, hY4 and hY5.
Source: Ensembl
UGCCGGCCUGAGUGCAGCGGUGUUUACAACUAACUGCCAGUUACGGAUCUCUUUGUUCCUUCUCCACGCCAACUGCUUCACUUGACUAGCCUUAG